RNAcentral lists this unclassified non-coding RNA (376 nucleotides) under uncultured bacterium. RNAcentral describes it as "contains 16S-23S intergenic spacer region". The record is from RNAcentral.
UCCGGUUUGUCACCGGCAGUCCCCCAUGAGUCCCCGGCAUUACCCGCUGGCAACUAAAGGCAGGGGUUGCGCUCGUUGCGGCACUUAAGCCAACACCUCACGGCACGAGCUGACGACAGCCAUGCAGCACCUGUGCUGGCCCCUUACGGAGCCCUGCUUUCACAGGGUUUAACCAGCAUGUCAAGCCCAGGUAAGGUUCUUCGCGUUGCAUCGAAUUAAACCACAUGCUCCACCGCUUGUGCGGGCCCCCGUCAAUUCCUUUGAGUUUCAGCCUUGCGGCCGUACUCCCCAGGCGGGGCACUUCAUGCGUUAGCGCCGGUACCCCGGGGGUCGCUCCCCAGAGCACCUAGUGCCCAUCGUUUACGGCGUGGACUAC